GAUGAAGAACGUAGCGAAAUGCGAUAAGUAGUGUGAAUUGCAGAAUUCAGUGAAUCAUCGAAUCUUUGAACGCACAUUGCGCCCGCCAGUAUUCUGGCGGGUAUGCCUGUCCGAGCGUCAUUUCAACCCUCGAGCCCCUCCGGGGGGUCGGCGUUGGGGAUCGGCCCCUCACCGGGCCGCCCCCGAAAUACAGUGGCGGUCUCGCCGCAGCCUCUCCUGCGCAGUAGUUUGCACACUCGCACCGGGAGCGCGGCGCGGCCACAGCCGUAAAACACCCCAAGCAUUCUGAAAUGUUGACCUCGGAUCAGGUAGGAAUACCCGCUGAACUUAAGCAUAUCAAUAAGCGGAGGA
Molecule: unclassified non-coding RNA, 351 nt
Filed under: soil metagenome
Description: partial contains 5.8S ribosomal RNA, internal transcribed spacer 2, and large subunit ribosomal RNA
Rfam family: 5.8S ribosomal RNA (bases 1-120)
Source: RNAcentral